Molecule: ribosomal RNA, 447 nt
Filed under: uncultured bacterium
Lineage: Bacteria
Description: bacterial SSU rRNA
Rfam family: Bacterial small subunit ribosomal RNA
Source: RNAcentral
AAUCAACGCUGGCGGCGUGCCUAACACAUGCAAGUCGAACGAGAAAGUGGAGCAAUCCAUGAGUAAAGUGGCGACCGGGUGAGUAACACGUGACUACCUACCUUUUAGUGGGGGAUAACUCCGGGAAACCGGAGCUAAUACCGCAUAACAUCGCAAGAUCAAAGCAGCAAUGCGCUGGAAGAGGGGGUCGCGGCUGAUUAGCUAGUUGGCGGGGUAAUGGCCCACCAAGGCGAAGAUCGGUAGCCGGCCUGAGAGGGCGCACGGCCACACUGGAACUGAAACACGGUCCAGACUCCUACGGGAGGCAGCAGUGGGGAAUUUUGCGCAAUGGGGGAAACCCUGACGCAGCAACGCCGCGUGGAGGAUGAAGUCCCUUGGGACGUAAACUCCUUUCGACCAAGACGAUGAUGACGGUACUGGUGGAAGAAGCACCGGCUAACUCUGUGC